AUACGGAGGGUGCAAGCGUUAAUCGGAAUUACUGGGCGUAAAGAGUACGUAGGUGGUUUAUUAAGUCAGAUGUGAAAGCCCCGGGCUUAACCUGGGAACUGCAUUUGAUACUGGCAAACUAGAGUAUGGUAGAGGCGGGUAGAAUUCCUAGUGUAGCGGUGAAAUGCGUAGAUAUUAGGAGGAAUACCAGUGGCGAAGGCGGCCCGCUGGACCAAUACUGACACUGAGGUACGAAAGCGUGGGUAGCGAACAGGAUUAGAAACCCCGUAGUCC
This 273-nucleotide ribosomal RNA is filed under the name uncultured bacterium. Its description in RNAcentral is "partial 16S ribosomal RNA". It matches the Rfam family "Bacterial small subunit ribosomal RNA", at positions 523 to 796 of the family's 1533-position model. The record is from RNAcentral.